Molecule: long non-coding RNA, 2676 nt
Organism: Argiope bruennichi
Lineage: Eukaryota; Metazoa; Arthropoda; Arachnida; Araneae; Araneidae
Exons: 4
Source: RefSeq, a predicted model, not a curated record
CGUUGCUAUUGUUUAUUUCACAGAAGAACUUUCUAGAAAUUUCAGAUUGAUUCGAAAUUUCUCCCUGCUGAACUCGGCAUGGUGCCGUGCUGUGCGUCCUUCAAAUAUUAUUUCGUACAGAAAGUUCCAGAAGCUUUUGCUCUGAUAUGGAAAAUAGUUAUGAAGUUCCAAAACUAUUAAAGAACUUCUGCAUUACACGAUUCUGCUAUGGUGCAAAUGCAUUUUCUGAAGAUCCCGUAUACGUUCUGUAACAUUCAUCUGAAUUCUCAAGCGAACAUGAAUCUAAAGUUGAAAACCAUCGUUGACGGAGGAGUUUCGAAAUUACGAUUUCGGAAUACUCGGAAGCCCGGAACUUCCCGAUUGAAUAAAUGAAUAUUCUGCUGCGCUUCACUCGAUUUCCAAGGGAUCCUGCAUUUGUUUUGAGUCCUUCCAUGGAAAUUUCUGGCUGACUUGUAUGUAAAGGAUGACUUGAAUGGAGGCCUGUUUAAUGGCAAGAUAUCCCAUACCACCUGCUUUCUAAAUAAAGAUGGAUGUGCCAUCUUCUAAAGUGAGAAUCUGGAGGUGUUGAAAUUUCCUCAAGAUGGAUGUAAGCUCCAAUGAAUUUAAAUACUGAACUUUUAAAAUAUUAGUACUAAAAUCUAGCUUCUAUCGUGAUUUAAUUAGUAUCGUUUGUUGAAUUUAUUAUUAUCUGUGGUAUGCAGUAUAUGAUACUUAGAUAAGCCCUCUGACCAGAACGGUGGUCAAUAUGAUCGUUAAAGUGUUAAGUAAACAUAUAUUUAAAUUCCGGUUAGAGGGGUUGUAUAAAAAGUUUACCAACCAUUUAAAAUCGUGUUAAAGCAGCUCUUUAAUUAAAUUGCUUAUAUUGUGCCUUCGCUGCAUCAUACGGAGUUUUGACACUUAAUGAUGUGCAAACGAAUCUAAAUCUAUUGUAGUACUCAGUUUCGCGAUCUCGGUGCAAGCUCAACGAAAGAUUAAGAACUCCAAGCAUUCUACAAAGGGGCAAUCAAGGAUUUUUCCCCAACUUGUUACUUUUCACUGGAUAUUUCCAAGUAUGGAAUAGAUAUUGAACAAUGAACUUAACCGAAUAUAUUGGAAAAUGUUUGCUGUCUACUUAAAUUUUGUCGUAAAAGUAUAAUAUUAAAUACGAAUUUUUUCAAAUCUUUUCCUUCAAGCUAAUCAUAAUUUUGCACACUGGAUUCGUCAUUGUUCAUUUUGUUAUUUAUUGUGAUGUUUGGUUUGUUUUUAUGGAUAUUUUUAUAUCCUCUUGUUCUGCAGAGAAAUUCUGAACAGAUAGGAAUUUAUUUAAAUGAUCAGUAGUGUUUGCAGCUGCUGAGUUCCAACUGCUUGUAGUCAAGUUGAUUCUCGCCAAAUCAUCAAUAAAGUUUGUAAAGAAUGAGUCUCAUCCGACAUUUCUGGUCACUUUUUUCUACACUUGCUAAAGAAACACGUGCAUAAGAAAUUGAUAUUCCAUUUGUUUAUUUUAUUGCAGCUUCGAUUUUGAAUUGCCUCAGUCUGUGAACAGCUCCGCGGGGGAAACAAGGGCAUUUAAACGGCAAAUUUUCAAUUCAUUUGGUUUGCUAAAACUCCAGUUUAAUAUAUUAAUCUCGUCAUUUUUUUUUUGGUUAUUCCCAUUGUUUUAUGCAGCAACAAUGGUUGAACUUCUAAUCUCUUAUUAAAAAAAUUACAACCUAAUUGAAUUCCCUUGGAUUAGGAUCUCGUGUUCAUCUGACUAAUUAUUUCUCGGUUCCCCAAUUUUUUCAAUAUUAAGGAGACUUGAUUUUCCUAAAAUCUUCUUGGAAACUUGGUGACCUCUUCAGAUCCAAUUAUAAAUAGAAUUGAUGACACGAAAAAUAUUAACAAAGGUUUUCUUUUAAAGUUUCCAGGAAAAGGAAUAAAUCUUAAACAACUGAAAUAAACUAUGCAGACUUCAAGAAUUUCUGAAAAAUCUGUAUAAAUGUAUACUUAUGAAUUGAGUAUCGGAAUCAAAUUGCGUAUUUGGUAAUGUGGGGAGCUGGCAGUUCCUGCUUUCUGCUCCUAGCUUAAUAGAUUAUACAGAAAAUCAAUUUGAAACAUUAGUACUUUUUCAGGGCCGACUUUUAUCACGAAAACUUUAUCAAUAUAUAUCCAGUAAAAUAAAAUGCAAGUUAAAAAAUAUGGAAAUAUAGGCUGGUUGUUUGGUAAAACGUUGGCCAAAUUCAGAUUUAGAAAGUAAUAUGAUCAGUGAUUUGACUCUAAUCUGUUAACUCUUGGUUAUUAAUUGCAAGUAGUUCGUAAAUAUUCUUAAAGAUGAACUUUCUUUUCACUAACAAAUAUUGCGAAAUGUAUUCAUUUUUUUAUAGAAAGUUACAAAAUGCCUAAAACUUCAUACGAAAAAACUCUGUAGAAUUUUUAGUUCAAAAUUAAUACAAGAGCCGAUAACAGUUGCCAAACUGCAUCUUAUAAUUGUAAAUAUCAUAAUUGCUCACUAAUAUUUAUAAAGACGAAUUUGUGAUCAGCGGUUUAUUCUACAAGUAAUUGCCAUUAAAGGCGCAAAACGCGUAUUUUUGGAAUUUAAGAAUAAAUAAAUUUUGAAUAUCUUGAAAGUUGAGAUUGAUAAAACUUCUAGCUUCGGCGCAUUUUUAAAUUAAGAUCAGAAAAUGUAAACAGGAAAAUUUGUAGAGGUAGUUAGGCUCCGUU